UUUUGGAAUUUUAGGCUAUUGUACAUUCUAGGAAAAUCUUUCUAUUAAAUUUGUUGUAUUUAAAUGAUCAUUUUUGGAACAUCUUUUCUGGGCGAUUUAGAUGAAUUCUCCAAUACCCAUUCAAAAUUUCCAAGUCUUUGAAAAAUCUGCCAUAUAGACUGAUUCAAAUCAGUGUUAGCUGUUUUUUAUUUUCUGUUAGGGGAUUACCAACAAAAAACUUUAUUAUCGUUAGCUACCAUUUUUGAAGCGCCUCUCUCCGCGAUUCACUGGCAGCUUUUACAUUUGUGUUGGGUGUUCUGUUAGAAUUGUGCUUGCUCAUGCGAAAUGCAACAAAGUGCAAAAAACAACAAUUGCCCUGGGGUCAAUGAAAUAAAACGCAAUUGCUGUACCCUCCUCCAGCUACAGCUAUAGCUCCAGAUUCAGUUGCAAAGGUAAGCGGAAUUAUAAGCACUGCCGGCAGAGAGCGAAAGAGCGUGUAACGAGAGAGCAGUAAUAGCACUGAUCGGAGCGCAAAGCGCAGAAAAGACAACGCUGAGUGCUGAACGAGAGAGGCUGAUUGACGAUUACCAACAAGCUCACAAACACACACAUACACACACACAAGAAGGCAAACAAACCGGCGAUGCGAAGCAAAGCAAAGCAAAAGCAGUGAAGGCAGCAGACACGCGAAACGGUUAGCCAUUCAGUGUGACAGUGAACGUCGUACGGUCGUUGUGUUAUGGCAGCAGACGCAACAGAAGCAAAAAA
Long non-coding RNA from Drosophila hydei, 747 nucleotides. RefSeq lists it as uncharacterized. The record is from RefSeq and is a predicted model, not a curated record. The transcript is spliced from 2 exons. NCBI's taxonomy places the organism in Eukaryota, Metazoa, Arthropoda, Insecta, Diptera, Drosophilidae.